Synechococcus sp. CC9605 is the source of this 59-nucleotide non-coding RNA. The record is from Rfam. Lineage: Bacteria; Bacillati; Cyanobacteriota; Cyanophyceae; Synechococcales; Synechococcaceae.
UGACGUUCACCCCUCAACUCAGGGGCGCAGAUCACCAGGCCAAGGAACGGGGACCUGGA